Long non-coding RNA from Meleagris gallopavo (turkey), 2587 nucleotides. Lineage: Eukaryota; Metazoa; Chordata; Aves; Galliformes; Phasianidae. The record is from Ensembl.
AUGCAACAAGUUUUGAGGAAGGCAAAAAGUUAAUAUUAAAAAAGAAGGAUUUUAAAUGACAAGUGGAAAAAUGAGGCCAUCCCCCAAAAGCAAGAAGGCACCAAGUAAUAAAACAACACUGCACACCACUGAAAAAGUGAUGUACAGAGACAACACAUCCAUAACAGCAGGAAUGGUGAAAGCAAUGUGCACAGUCAUAAAAGCAUACCAACUUUGUAAAAUGUCACUAUAUCAGUAACAGGAACGGCUCUCAAGCUGUCAUGUCCACAGAUGAGAAUACCAACUCUACUCACCAAGAAAGUGCCAGAUGUCAUGUGCUGCAAUGGUAGAACUCCCGAGCUCCUCAGCCUCUCAAAGAGUUCACGUGCACACAAAAUCCAGCAGAGAGCUCAGCAUGACCCUGACAUGGCUGAAGCAAAGAAGGCACAUAUGGAUGCAAGCUCUACAAUACUGACUGCUGAGGCCUUUGUAUUACCUCCACUCUCCCUUUCCUCAAGGACUGGUUCUGCUGACAGCCAAAGCCAAAGCAUCCAGGAACAUUCUGAACAGAGCUGCCUUCCCAGAACAGUGCCACAGUGUGGAUACACCUCAGUGAGGUGCAUGGACGUUCCUGAGUGCCCCUGGGGACUAGGUGGUGGCUUUGAGGAUGACACAGCACCACAACUGGAGACCUUUCUCCAAGCAGGAACCAGAGCGUAGGACGUCAACAAGGCACAAACUGGGAGCACUGUGCUUGUCUGCAAAAAUCCCCCUGGUGCCUUCAAUAAUGCUCACCAACCUGCUGCAAGUAGCAUAGCACAAACAAUGCUGGACUGUCAAGCACAUCAAUAAGGAGAAGUUUUAUUCUCAUCCCUUCACAAUCCACACUGACAGACAAAAAUUGAACCUGUCCUUAACAGUAGAAGAGAGGAAUCUAUUUUGUAGUGUGCUACAGGCAUGAUCUAGAUAAAUUGCACCUGUAUUUUAUUUGAACCCAUCACAACACAACAUAACAAGGCAUUUCAAUUACCUCAACAAGCUACCAAUACAACUUUAUCAUUUCAAUUUUUCAUCUUUUUCCUCCGACUCGGCGUUUCUUCUAUAUAUCACUGUAAAUCUCAUCAGUUCCAGCCCAGUUUAGGUUAAUAAAUUCAGUCACCUUCUCUAGCCUAAUGAAAAGAGGAAACUCUUAGCAAAGGAAACCAGUGGCUUAUAGUUAUUGCCUGGGGCCUUGUGCUUGCCCCUCUGUACAGUGAGGCAGAUGGGCUCUUUCCUCCCAGUGUACCUUUUCAUGUCCCACCUGUGAAGGGGGGAAGGGGUUACCACAUUGACAAAUCCUCUGUUAUAUUAAGGGGAAACAACACUCAUAGUCCAUAUAUAAGAGGGAAAAAGAAUCAACAUUAAUAGGAGAUUAAGAAGAGGCCUGGGCCAUCCUCCCAGUAGCCCCCAUUUAUAGUGUCAAAGCAAAAAAGGGAAGGGCCAUCCCCUCCUAGCCUCUAUUUACAGUAGCAAAACAAAAAGGGAAGGGACAGCCUCCCCUAUCCCUUAUUGAUAGUUGUAGUUUGCUCUAGUUCCAGGAGUGGUUGAGGCACCAGAUACCAACCGAAUCUUGGCUGGGACACCAGCCAAAUCAAAGGAGGUGACAACAGGACCCCUGCCAUGGCUUAUUUCUUGGGCACUGUUCUGGACUCCUCCAGAAGUGGUUGAGACAUCACUUGAAUUAAUGAAAGGGAGACCUGGCUUCUCUCUGUGGCUUAAAUCUCUCUCAGAGUGUUGACCACGUUCACAUUAACAGUCACUUUGGGGUUCAUCCCUUUCACACCCCCAGAAACACUCAUGUGUGACCUUGAAGGAAAAUUCAGGUAAUGGCCUGAAGCAUGCCAUGCAAGAGCACAGUUUUAGCUGGCAUAAGUGGAGCCUGAAGACAUACCAGUGCUCUGUGUGCAGCUCAGGGGCAACUUAUUUAGCCACUAAACUUUUAUCAUCUUCUGCCACACUAUUCCUGUCUUCAAGGAGGGGGACAAGUUAUGCAGGAAAACAGUUAUUUGCAUAUUAGCUAGAAGUGCACUGAGAUCCCAACAGACAGAGUGAGAGAAAACUAAUUUCAUACCAUGAUUAUGCUUUUUCUAAGAGACAGUGAUAAAGCUUAAGGUUUUCAAAGAUUUUAUGAAUACACAGAAGAGGGAAAUAAGAUGAAAUAAUACCGCAAAUCAAAAUGCUUAUAUGUUUAUUAAUUCUGACUAAAAUUUGCCAUCUGUGACUGAGAGUUUUACUAAAUAAACCCAACAAAUUAUAGACUAUUCUAGCUAAGAAUUUUCAUGGCACUGUUUCUUAAGCUCUGGUACUGAAAUAGCUCCUCUGUAAAUGAAUAUUUACAAUAAAAGUACGCUCAUAAAAGUUCCAAAGCGUUUUCUAGUGACAGUCUGUUCAACUAUUUAGUGAUUCAAAAGAAAACUCUUCAAGAAAAGCUCCAUAUCAGUGCAGUACAUAAAAUACAGAAGUGUAUGAAAAAUGACAAAGGCGGUAUGUUACUACUGAGGUGCCUCUAACUUGAUUGCUGAGCUAGUUGAAGUAGCUUUUCAUAAAUGAAAUAUGUCUUCGGUUUUCC